AUUGAACGCUGGCGGAAUGCUUUACACAUGCAAGUCGAACGGCAGCACGGGAGCUUGCUCCUGGUGGCGAGUGGCGAACGGGUGAGUAAUGCGUCGGAACGUGCCGAGUAAUGGGGGAUAACGCAGCGAAAGUUGUGCUAAUACCGCAUACGCCCUGAGGGGGAAAGUGGGGGAUCGCAAGACCUCACGUUAUUCGAGCGGCCGACGUCUGAUUAGUUAGUUGGAGGUGUAACGGACCCCCAAGACGACGAUCAUUAGGGGAACUGAGAGGUUGAUCCCCCACACUGGCACUGAGAUACGGGCCAGACUCCUACGGGAGGCAGCAGUAGGGAAUAUUGGUCAAUGGGUGAGAGCCUGAACCAGCCAUGCCGCGUGCAGGAAGACGGCCUUCUGGGUUGUAAACUGCUUUUAUCUGGGGAUAAAAUGACCGUGCGCGGUUAAUUGAAGGUACCAGAUGAAUAAGCACGGCUAACUACGUGCCAGCAGCCGCGGU
RNAcentral lists this ribosomal RNA (493 nucleotides) under uncultured bacterium. RNAcentral's name for it is "bacterial SSU rRNA". It matches the Rfam family "Bacterial small subunit ribosomal RNA", at positions 30 to 521 of the family's 1533-position model. The record is from RNAcentral.